UGGGGAAUUUUGGACAAUGGGGGCAACCCUGAUCCAGCAAUGCCGCGUGUGUGAAGAAGGCCUUCGGGUUGUAAAGCACUUUUGUCCGGAAAGAAAACUUCGGGGCUAAUACCCCUGGAGGAUGACGGUACCGGAAGAAUAAGCACCGGCUAACUACGUGCCAGCAGCCGCGGUAAUACGUAGGGUGCGAGCGUUAAUCGGAAUUACUGGGCGUAAAGCGUGCGCAGGCGGUGCUGUAAGACCGAUGUGAAAUCCCCGGGCUUAACCUGGGAACUGCAUUGGUGACUGCAGCGCUGGAGUAUGGCAGAGGGGGGUGGAAUUCCACGUGUAGCAGUGAAAUGCGUAGAGAUGUGGAGGAACACCGAUGGCGAAGGCAGCCCCCUGGGCCAAUACUGACGCGCAUGCACGAAAGCGUGGGGAGCAAACAGG
RNAcentral lists this ribosomal RNA (429 nucleotides) under Bacillota bacterium. Its description in RNAcentral is "Firmicutes bacterium partial 16S ribosomal RNA". It matches the Rfam family "Bacterial small subunit ribosomal RNA", at positions 355 to 776 of the family's 1533-position model. The record is from RNAcentral. Lineage: Bacteria; Bacillati; Bacillota.